This 416-nucleotide unclassified non-coding RNA is filed under the name soil metagenome. RNAcentral describes it as "partial contains 5.8S ribosomal RNA, internal transcribed spacer 2, and large subunit ribosomal RNA". The stretch from base 1 to 121 matches the Rfam family "5.8S ribosomal RNA", at positions 35 to 154 of the family's 154-position model. The record is from RNAcentral.
GAUGAAGAACGUAGCGAAGUGCGAUAUGUAGUGUGAAUUGCAGAAUUCCGUGAAUCAUCGAAUCUUUGAACGCAAAUUGCACUCUCCGGUUUUCCGGGAGAGUAUGCCUGUUUGAGGGUCAGCCUAAAAUACAUCGACAUUGUUGCUGGUUGCUGUUGCUUCAUGGUGACUUUUGUCGGAGAUUGGGUCAUCUUAAAACCUCUCUUUUUGGUUUAAGCGACUUUAAAUUUUUCUUUACGAUUCCGUGAACGUUUCUAAGAUUUUUAUUUUCUUAUACGUUUAAGGUUAUCGAUCAAUCAUAUUUAUAUAUUAGACGUGACCGUCGCAUCGGAUCGCGUCCAUAAUAAGACUUUCGUUAACUGACCUCAGACAGGUAAGAGUACCCGCUGAACUUAAGCAUAUCAAUAAGCGGAGGA